GAGUUUUGAAUCAUGGCUCAAGGACGAAACGCUGGCGGCGUGCUUAACACACGCAAGUUCGAACGAAUGAAGCUCUAGCUUGCUAGGCGGAUUAGUCGGCGAAACGGGUCGAGUAAUACGUCGAGUCGACCUACCUUUCGACUCUGGGAUAAGCCUGGGAAAACUCGGGUCUAAUAGCCGGAAUACGACCAAUCUCCGCAUGGGGUGUUGGUGGAAAAGCGUUAUGGAGUGGUUUUAGAUGGGCUCACGGCCUAUCAGCUUGUUGGUGAGGUAAUGGCUUACCAAGGCGACGACGGGUAGCCGGCCUGAGAGGGUGACCGGCCACACUGGGACUGAGACACGGCCCAGACUCCUACGGGAGGCAGCAGUGGGGAAUAUUGCACAAUGGGCGCAAGCCUGAUGCAGCGACGCCGCGUGAGGGAUGACGGCCUUCGGGUUGUAAACCUCUGUUAGCAUCGAAGAAGCGAAAGUGACGGUAGGUGCAGAGAAAGCGCCGGCUAACUACGUGCCAGCAGCCGCGGUAAUACGUAGGGCGCGAGCGUUGUCCGGAAUUAUUGGGCGUAAAGAGCUUGUAGGCGGUUGGUCGCGUCUGCUGUGAAAGGCUGGGGCUUAACCCUGGUUUUGCAGUGGGUACGGGCUAACUAGAGUGCAGUAGGGGAGACUGGAAUUCCUGGUGUAGCGGUGGAAUGCGCAGAUAUCAGGAGGAACACCGAUGGCGAAGGCAGGUCUCUGGGCUGUAACUGACGCUGAGAAGCGAAAGCAUGGGGAGCGAACAGGAUUAGAUACCCUGGUAGUCCAUGCCGUAAACGUUGGGCACUAGGUGUGGGGGACAUUCCACGUUUUCCGCGCCGUAGCUAACGCAUUAAGUGCCCCGCCUGGGGAGUACGGCCGCAAGGCUAAAACUCAAAGAAAUUGACGGGGGCCCGCACAAGCGGCGGAGCAUGCGGAUUAAUUCGAUGCAACGCGAAGAACCUUACCAAGGCUUGACAUAUACUGGACUGCGUCAGAGAUGGCGUUUCCCUUCGGGGCUGGUAUACAGGUGGUGCGUGGUUGUCGUCAGCUCGUGUCGUGAGAUGUUGGGUUAAGUCCCGCAACGAGCGCAACCCUCGUUCUAUGUUGCCAGCACGUGAUGGUGGGGACUCAUAGGAGACUGCCGGGGUCAACUCGGAGGAAGGUGGGGAUGACGUCAAAUCAUCAUGCCCCUUAUGUCUUGGGCUUCACGCAUGCUACAAUGGCCGGUACAGAGGGUUGCGAUACUGUGAGGUGGAGCUAAUCCCUAAAAGCCGGUCUCAGUUCGGAUUGGGGUUCUGCAAACUCGACCCCAUGAAGUUCGGAGUCGCUAGUAAUCGCAGGAUCAGCAACGCUGCGGUGAAUACGUUUCCCGGGCCCUUGUACACACCGCCCG
RNAcentral lists this ribosomal RNA (1405 nucleotides) under uncultured bacterium. RNAcentral's name for it is "bacterial SSU rRNA". It matches the Rfam family "Bacterial small subunit ribosomal RNA". The record is from RNAcentral.